UCCCUGGUCAUCCAGUGACCAAGACUCUGCACUGCCAAUGUGGGGGGCCCAGGUUCAAUCCCUGGUUAGGGAA
Molecule: transfer RNA, 73 nt
Filed under: Bos taurus (domestic cattle)
Lineage: Eukaryota; Metazoa; Chordata; Mammalia; Artiodactyla; Bovidae
Also listed under: 2 other names
Rfam family: tRNA
About the family: Transfer RNA (tRNA) molecules are approximately 80 nucleotides in length. Their secondary structure includes four short double-helical elements and three loops (D, anti-codon, and T loops). Further hydrogen bonds mediate the characteristic L-shaped molecular structure. tRNAs have two regions of fundamental functional importance: the anti-codon, which is responsible for specific mRNA codon recognition, and the 3' end, to which the tRNAs corresponding amino acid is attached (by aminoacyl-tRNA synthetases). tRNAs cope with the degeneracy of the genetic code in two manners: having more than one tRNA (with a specific anti-codon) for a particular amino acid; and 'wobble' base-pairing, i.e. permitting non-standard base-pairing at the 3rd anti-codon position.
Source: Rfam by way of RNAcentral